GCGGGUGUAGCUCAGUUGGAAGAGCGACAGCUUGCCAUGCUGUAGGUCGUGGGUUCGAAUCCCAUCACCCGCU
This 73-nucleotide transfer RNA is filed under the name Planctomycetota bacterium. RNAcentral's name for it is "tRNA-Gly". It matches the Rfam family "tRNA". From Rfam's summary of the family: Transfer RNA (tRNA) molecules are approximately 80 nucleotides in length. Their secondary structure includes four short double-helical elements and three loops (D, anti-codon, and T loops). RNAcentral also lists the same sequence under 1 other name. The record is from RNAcentral. Lineage: Bacteria; Pseudomonadati; Planctomycetota.